GACGAACGCUGGCGGCGUGCUUAACACAUGCAAGUCGAGCGGAAAGGCCACUUCGGUGGUACUCGAGCGGCGAACGGGUGAGUAACACGUGAGUAAUCUGCCCCUGGCUUUGGGAUAGCCACCGGAAACGGUGAUUAAUGCCGGAUACGACCACUUCUCGCAUGGGAUGGUGGUGGAAAGUUUUUUCGGCCAGGGAUGUGCUCGCGGCCUAUCAGCUUGAUGGUGAGGUAAUGGCUCACCAUGGCUUCGACGGGUAGCCGGCCUAAGAGGGUGACCGGUCACACUGGGACUGAGACACGGCCCAGACUCCUACGGGAGGCAGCAGUGGGGAAUAUUGGACAAUGGGCGGAAGCCUGAUCCAGCAACGCCGCGUGAGGGAUGACGGCCUUCGGGUUGUAAACCUCUUUCAGCAGGGACGAAGCGCAAGUGACGGUACCUGCAGAAGAAGCACCGGCCAACUACGUGCCAGCCGCCGCUGUAA
This 481-nucleotide ribosomal RNA is filed under the name uncultured bacterium. Its description in RNAcentral is "partial 16S ribosomal RNA". It matches the Rfam family "Bacterial small subunit ribosomal RNA", at positions 28 to 523 of the family's 1533-position model. The record is from RNAcentral.